AUUUUUAUGGAGAGUUUGAUCCUGGCUCAGGAUGAACGCUGGCGGCGUGCCUAAUACAUGCAAGUCGAGCGAACGGACGAGAAGCUUGCUUCUCUGAUGUUAGCGGCGGACGGGUGAGUAACACGUGGAUAACCUACCUAUAAGACUGGGAUAACUUCGGGAAACCGGAGCUAAUACCGGAUAAUAUUUUGAACCGCAUGGUUCAAAAGUGAAAGACGGUCUUACUGUCACUUAUAGAUGGAUCCGCGCUGCAUUAGCUAGUUGGUAAGGUAACGGCUUACCAAGGCAACGAUGCAUAGCCGACCUGAGAGGGUGAUCGGCCACACUGGAACUGAGACACGGUCCAGACUCCUACGGGAGGCAGCAGUAGGGAAUCUUCCGCAAUGGGCGAAAGCCUGACGGAGCAACGCCGCGUGAGUGAUGAAGGUCUUCGGAUCGUAAAACUCUGUUAUUAGGGAAGAACAUAUGUGUAAGUAACUGUGCACAUCUUGACGGUACCUAAUCAGAAAGCCACGGCUAACUACGUGCCAGCAGCCGCGGUAAUACGUAGGUGGCAAGCGUUAUCCGGAAUUAUUGGGCGUAAAGCGCGCGUAGGCGGUUUUUUAAGUCUGAUGUGAAAGCCCACGGCUCAACCGUGGAGGGUCAUUGGAAACUGGAAAACUUGAGUGCAGAAGAGGAAAGUGGAAUUCCAUGUGUAGCGGUGAAAUGCGCAGAGAUAUGGAGGAACACCAGUGGCGAAGGCGACUUUCUGGUCUGUAACUGACGCUGAUGUGCGAAAGCGUGGGGAUCAAACAGGAUUAGAUACCCUGGUAGUCCACGCCGUAAACGAUGAGUGCUAAGUGUUAGGGGGUUUCCGCCCCUUAGUGCUGCAGCUAACGCAUUAAGCACUCCGCCUGGGGAGUACGACCGCAAGGUUGAAACUCAAAGGAAUUGACGGGGACCCGCACAAGCGGUGGAGCAUGUGGUUUAAUUCGAAGCAACGCGAAGAACCUUACCAAAUCUUGACAUCCUUUGACAACUCUAGAGAUAGAGCUUUCCCCUUCGGGGGACAAAGUGACAGGUGGUGCAUGGUUGUCGUCAGCUCGUGUCGUGAGAUGUUGGGUUAAGUCCCGCAACGAGCGCAACCCUUAAGCUUAGUUGCCAUCAUUAAGUUGGGCACUCUAAGUUGACUGCCGGUGACAAACCGGAGGAAGGUGGGGAUGACGUCAAAUCAUCAUGCCCCUUAUGAUUUGGGCUACACACGUGCUACAAUGGACAAUACAAAGGGCAGCGAAACCGCGAGGUCAAGCAAAUCCCAUAAAGUUGUUCUCAGUUCGGAUUGUAGUCUGCAACUCGACUACAUGAAGCUGGAAUCGCUAGUAAUCGUAGAUCAGCAUGCUACGGUGAAUACGUUCCCGGGUCUUGUACACACCGCCCGUCACACCACGAGAGUUUGUAACACCCGAAGCCGGUGGAGUAACCUUUUAGGAGCUAGCCGUCGAAGGUGGGACAAAUGAUUGGGGUGAAGUCGUAACAAGGUAGCCGUAUCGGAAGGUGCGGCUGGAUCACCUCCUUU
This 1555-nucleotide ribosomal RNA is filed under the name Staphylococcus aureus. RNAcentral's name for it is "16S ribosomal RNA". It matches the Rfam family "Bacterial small subunit ribosomal RNA". Lineage: Bacteria; Bacillati; Bacillota; Bacilli; Caryophanales; Staphylococcaceae. The record is from RNAcentral.